RNAcentral lists this ribosomal RNA (430 nucleotides) under uncultured bacterium. RNAcentral's name for it is "bacterial SSU rRNA". It matches the Rfam family "Bacterial small subunit ribosomal RNA", at positions 354 to 776 of the family's 1533-position model. The record is from RNAcentral.
GUGGGGAAUUUUGGACAAUGGGCGAAAGCCUGAUCCAGCAAUGCCGCGUGUGUGAAGAAGGCCUUCGGGUUGUAAAGCACUUUUGUCCGGAAAGAAAUGGCUCUGGUUAAUACCUGGGGUCGAUGACGGUACCGGAAGAAUAAGGACCGGCUAACUACGUGCCAGCAGCCGCGGUAAUACGUAGGGUCCAAGCGUUAAUCGGAAUUACUGGGCGUAAAGCGUGCGCAGGCGGUUGUGCAAGACCGAUGUGAAAUCCCCGAGCUUAACUUGGGAAUUGCAUUGGUGACUGCACGGCUAGAGUGUGUCAGAGGGGGGUAGAAUUCCACGUGUAGCAGUGAAAUGCGUAGAGAUGUGGAGGAAUACCGAUGGCGAAGGCAGCCCCCUGGGAUAACACUGACGCUCAUGCACGAAAGCGUGGGGAGCAAACAGG